Molecule: unclassified non-coding RNA, 390 nt
Filed under: Hevea brasiliensis (rubber tree)
Lineage: Eukaryota; Viridiplantae; Streptophyta; Magnoliopsida; Malpighiales; Euphorbiaceae
Source: RNAcentral
CAAGAUUCUUUUCAAACAUAUGAAAGCAACAAUUCAACUAGUCUACAGUUAAAAAGACUCAUAUUUACAAUGCUACCUCCUAAUUAAAGCAUUAUUUACUUGGAAAACCCUCUAAAUUAUUGGAAAAUUUGAGGGUCUAAAGAGAAAUUGCUGAUACUUGUGAGAACAAUAUUAAAAUUUGAAAGAAGCUUUGCAAUUAUCCAUAGUCAAGUUUCCAAAUGGAUCUUUCAGACCAUUCACUAUCCACUACCUGCUAAAUUGUCCAGUUGUGCAUUGUCAAUAUUAUUAUUAUUUUUUUUUCCUUUGCAGAAGAAAAAUAAAACACACCUAGGAAUUACAUAUUUUAUUUGCCUUAAGCAUGAUUAUCAAAUUGUCAGAUUGCAAUACUUG